This 254-nucleotide ribosomal RNA is filed under the name uncultured bacterium. RNAcentral's name for it is "partial 16S ribosomal RNA". It matches the Rfam family "Bacterial small subunit ribosomal RNA", at positions 524 to 776 of the family's 1533-position model. The record is from RNAcentral.
UACAGAGGUCCCAAGCGUUUGUUCGGAUUCACUGGGCGUAAAGGGUGCGCAGGUGGGUUGGCAAGUUUGAUGUGAAAGCCCCGGGCUUAACCCGGGAAUGGCAUUGAAUACUGCUGAUCUGGAGGAUCGGAGGGGGGACUGGAAUUCUUGGUGUAGCAGUGAAAUGCGUAGAUAUCAAGAGGAACACCAGUGGCGAAGGCGAGUCCCUGGACGAUACCUGACACUGAGGCACGAAAGCCAAGGGAGCAAACAGG